This 301-nucleotide ribosomal RNA is filed under the name uncultured bacterium. Its description in RNAcentral is "partial 16S ribosomal RNA". It matches the Rfam family "Bacterial small subunit ribosomal RNA", at positions 509 to 807 of the family's 1533-position model. The record is from RNAcentral.
CAGUAGCCACGGUAAUACGUAGGGUGCGAGCGUUAAUCGGAAUUACUGGGCGUAAAGCGUGCGCAGGCGGUUAUAUAAGACAGAUGUGAAAUCCCCGGGCUCAACCUGGGACCUGCAUUUGUGACUGUAUAGCUAGAGUACGGUAGAGGGGGAUGGAAUUCCGCGUGUAGCAGUGAAAUGCGUAGAUAUGCGGAGGAACACCGAUGGCGAAGGCAAUCCCCUGGACCUGUACUGACGCUCAUGCACGAAAGCGUGGGGAACAAACAGGAUUAGAUACCCCCGUAGUCCCUGUCUCUUAUAC